This is a long non-coding RNA of Ceratitis capitata (Mediterranean fruit fly), 374 nucleotides long. RefSeq lists it as uncharacterized. The transcript has 2 exons. The record is from RefSeq and is a predicted model, not a curated record. NCBI's taxonomy places the organism in Eukaryota, Metazoa, Arthropoda, Insecta, Diptera, Tephritidae.
UUCAAAAUUAAAAAAAAAAAUCCUAUAAAAAAGUCAUCAAUUUUUGUUCAAAAUGCUUGAAAAGCUCGAAUGGUCGAACUAGUGCUCGAAAAAUUUUCAGCAAUGAGCAAUAAAAGAGUGUGCAAAUGCUGCUCGAAAAUGUUCAAACAUAAACUUGAGGAAACCAUAACCAUGGUGUGUCAAAUAGCAAAUUUCAUCGCAGAUGCUUUUUUGACCAAAAUUUUCAAAUGUGAGCAAAUCAAUUAUAUGAUGCAACAUUCGAGCAUGCAGAUGAUGCUAAAUAUCCAUUCAAGCUCCAUAUAUGUACGUGUAUGUGCACUAAAACAAGCAAAACGAUGACGGAAGAGGGAAUUUUACAAAAAUGUUCUAAAAUG